GACUCCAGUUUAAAAAUGCCCCUACCGUUAACCUAUUUUGAAAAAAAUGCCCCUACCGUUUUAAAUAUAAGUACAGUCAAUUGUUAGACUUAGGGGCACAAAUAUGCCACAUUUUUAACGGUAGGAGCAUUUUCUUCAAAAUAGGUUAACAGAGGGCAUUUUAAACCUGGAGUCAAUACGUUAGGGGCAGUUCUGACCCUUUACCCUAAUAACAAAGACAAUACAAGUUGAUAAUAACGGUAAUUAAAGUAGAGAAAAGAAAGUAUAAAUUUAACGUGGUUCAGUCAAGGAGUCCUACGUCCACAAGUGAGAGAAGUAAUUUUACUAUACCAACAAGAAUACAAAAGAGAGUAUAAAAUUAGAGUAAAUACUCUAAUUAGUCUCAAAUACCCCAAGAGAAUAACCUCACAAGAUCCUCUAAAGAAAGGGUUUACAUAAGUGUUUUCCAACACUCACCCUCUUACAGAAUACUCUAUAAUGAAAAAGAAGACAUAAGCUAGUAUAAAUACGUCUACUUUUAC
RNAcentral lists this long non-coding RNA (521 nucleotides) under Nicotiana benthamiana. Its description in RNAcentral is "long non-coding RNA (NBEN_LNC027174)". Lineage: Eukaryota; Viridiplantae; Streptophyta; Magnoliopsida; Solanales; Solanaceae. The record is from RNAcentral.